AACGUAGGUACCGAGCGUUAUCCGGAUUUACUGGGCGUAAAGCGCGUUCAGGCGGUUUGGCAAGUCGGGCAUGAAAUCUCUCGGCUCAACCGGGAGAGGUUGUCCGAUACUGCUGGACUUGAGGGCAGUAGAGGGUGGUGGAAUUCCGGGUGUAGUGGUGAAAUGCGCAGAGAUGUGGAGGAACACCGAUGGCGAAGGCAGCCUCCUGGGCCAAUACUGACGCUCAUGCACGAAAGCGUGGGGAGCAAACAGG
This 253-nucleotide ribosomal RNA is filed under the name uncultured bacterium. RNAcentral's name for it is "partial 16S ribosomal RNA". It matches the Rfam family "Bacterial small subunit ribosomal RNA", at positions 524 to 776 of the family's 1533-position model. The record is from RNAcentral.